GGAAUUGUGGCUCAGUGGCAGAGCACUUGCCUCACAUGUAUGAGGCACUGGGUUUGAUCCUCAGCACCA
This 69-nucleotide transfer RNA is filed under the name Marmota monax (woodchuck). It matches the Rfam family "tRNA". Rfam says of the family: Transfer RNA (tRNA) molecules are approximately 80 nucleotides in length. Their secondary structure includes four short double-helical elements and three loops (D, anti-codon, and T loops). Lineage: Eukaryota; Metazoa; Chordata; Mammalia; Rodentia; Sciuridae. The record is from Rfam by way of RNAcentral.